RNAcentral lists this ribosomal RNA (253 nucleotides) under uncultured bacterium. RNAcentral's name for it is "partial 16S ribosomal RNA". It matches the Rfam family "Bacterial small subunit ribosomal RNA", at positions 524 to 776 of the family's 1533-position model. The record is from RNAcentral.
UACGCAGGGGGCUAGCGUUGUUAGGAAUAACUGGGCGUAAAGCGCAUGUAGGCGGAUCUUUAAGUCAGAGGUGAAAUCCCAGGGCUCAACCCCGGCAUUGCCUUUGAUACUGGAGAUCUGGAGUCUGGGAGAGGUGAGUGGAAUUCCGAGUGUAGAGGUGAAAUUCGUAGAUAUUCGGAGGAACACCAGUGGCGAAGGCGGCUCACUGGCCCGAGACUGACGCUGAGAUGCGAAAGCGUGGGGAGCAAACAGG